AAUAUGGCGGAAGUGGACCUGAGCAGCAUGAACAUCCUUCUCAGGAGACAUGAAUAGUCGUCAUGUUUCUGCCUUCUGCAUCGCUGGCUUACCAAGGGGAAACGAAGUCACGCGGCAGAGUCUACUGCCCUCAUGCGAUGGAGAGCGUCGAGACUCUGAGCAUUGUUGAUGCCACGCAAAAGCCGUCCAUCUGGGAGCCGAGGAGACGCCGCUGUCAGUGAGAUAAGUGUCUGGUGUCAUGAGGGCUCUGCUCACGCCCAACCUGAGUCCAGGAACGGCGUCUCCUCUGCAGCAGAAAGUUGCAUCCAGGAGGAUGACUCCAGGUGCUGCGCUUCCAGAGGAAUUUUCCAAGAGCCCCAGCCCGGGGAGAAAGUGGCAGAAGUGGACAUGAGCAGACUGGACAUCCUUGUCAGCAGACAUGAACAGUCCUCCGCUUUCUGACUCCCGCAUAACUGGCUGACCGAGAGAAAAGAAGUCACGCGUCAGAGUCUCAUGUCCUCAUGCGAUGGAAAGCGAGCCAGAGCGACGAGACCGCGAGCAUUGUUGAUGCCACGCAAAAGCCGUCCAACUGGGAGGGGAACGGCCGCCGCUCUCAGUGAGAUAAGUGUCUGGUUUGGUGAGGGCUCUGCUCACGCCCAACCUGAGUCCAGGUUGCGAAGCCCACUAAGUUAGGGCCGGUUUUGUAUGAAAAGGUUCCUGACUAGCUGUGGUGAGGAGGGAGAAAAGGUCCCUAUUUUCAGAGGUUGCUCAUUUCUCUGGUCAGGAACGGUGUCUCCUCCGCAGCGGAAGGUUGGAUUCAGGAGGAUGACUCCAGGUGAUCAGUUGCUUGCUUUCCUCCCAUUUUCUCUCUCUCUCUCUCUCUCCUCUUGUGUGUUGGCCAACUUUCUCACUCUCUUUCCUCUCCUGUCCUCAUGCCUUCUCCCUUUCUAGGACACGGGCAUGCGUGCUAGGUGUGCAUCCCCACAGGCCAGGUCUUGGGAGCCAUGGAGAAGUAGGAGGGGACGAAAACCAUGCAGGGCUGCGACUGUCGGUGUUAACUCGGUCUCUGUUCAUUGAGCGGGGCCGAUGUAGAUGGGAUUGGAGAGGGAGGCAGCGACGAGGGCAAGAUUUCCAGCACCAAUAGAGCUCUGUGUAGUGAUAGUUCUUGCUUGGCUUUAUUAGUUUGCAGGGGAAUCGUCCAGGAGCCCUAGCCGCACAAGAAUAUGGCGGAAGUGGACCUGAGCAGCAUGAACAUCCUUCUCAGGAGACAUGAAUAGUCGUCAUGUUUCUGCCUUCUGCAUCGCUGGCUGUGAGUAAGAGGACAGUGCUUUGAAUUCCUCAACUGUACUCGCUGUAGUUUUCUUCACAGGCCGUGUGCUUCCUCGUUAGUUACGAGGCUCUGGGAUUAAGGCUGGGGAAGGGACAAGAGUCUCCUGGGCAAAGUGAGUAUUUUGGGUGCCGUUACAAUGGGUGCCUUCUAGUUGCAGUUGUAACGUUUUAAUGGGAGAUGGGUUGAGGGUGGAACCGUGGGAUAUGAGAGAUGUGAAAUGAAGGAGACCACGCGACAUUGCAGAUGAAGAUGCUAAUUUUUUUCGUUCCCUCCUCCCGCUGGGUUUAGUACCAAGGGGAAACGAAGUCAGGCGGCAGAUGUUGCCGACUGAGAUGGUAACGGAUUUGUUUUUUCCCCUUGUGCUGGGUUACAAUGGGUGCCUUCUAGUUGCAGUUGUAACGUUUUAAUGGGAGAUGGGUUGAGGGUGGAACCGUGGGAUAUGGGAGAUGUGAAAUGAAGGAGACCACGCGAAAUUGGAGAUGAAGAUGCUAAUUUUUUUUGUUUUCCCCCCCUUCGUUAGGUUUAGUACCAAGGAAAACGAAGUCACGCGUCAGAGUAAUAAGGCAUUAAAGAAGAAAUGGUUAUAAGAAAAAAUAAAGAUAAAAUGCUUUCUAAACUUAACAAACUAGGCUUGUGAAGUCUCUUCCCACAGGUUCCAGUAAUAUUGCUGCCCAAACUCUCAGGCCAGGAUCUGCUUCCAGCGUACAGCAGCUGUUUCUCUGAUCAUCUUAGGAGGUGAAAGGGAGAUGGGUAGGGAGAGAGAACUUGGGUGUUUUUGCCCAUCACUUUUAUAGCUUGGUCACCAUUUGAAAAACAUUUUCCGGAGUGUUCACCUUAAGUAAAGUUCUUUCUUGCUGAGAGCAAGGAGACAUGGAGUUUGGUGGAAGAAGGAGGCUUUGUGCUGUUUCUGUUCAUCUGUGUAUACUACUUCUUUCUUCCCCCUCUUGUCCUCUGUGGAAUCUGUUUACAGCUGAAAUGCAAAUUGAGGCAAACGCACAUCUCUUUCUUUAGGACAAGUGUGCUUGACCAGUUCCACUUAAUCAGGCUAUGUGAAUUGGAACUUGUGCUUUUAAUACCCUAUAGGUGGAAUUUCAUAACUUUACACAGACUGUUGCUACAGCCAUUUCACCAAGAUAGUAUUGAUCACAGAGUUUCAAAUGCUACCUCACAAGGCAUAUUUUGUCCAAAGAUUGUUACAAUAGUGUGUAGGGUGUGAAUACAGGGGUGCAUUUGGUCACGGUGGGCUGGGAAUUAUCCAUUUGUGGAGGGCUCUCUAACCUUACCCUUCCCUGGAAAUUGCCAGACAAUGAACGGAAGUGGAGAAUUCUUGCUCGAAUCCCAAAUUGCUGGAAAUCUCAGACUGGCUGGAGCUGGUAUGAUUUCCCAGUGGAGUCAGUUUUUCUCCCCGGUGGAUUAUGAUUUUCCCCAUUGUAAUUAGUUGCAAUUUAUCUACUUCCCCACAGCCCCUCACUAGGUUCUCUAGGCGGCAUCUCAUUGCUUCACAUUAAAGCUGCUGCCCUUUGGGUCUGUAUGUUCUGGGGUAUUUGCUGUCAUGAGUGACUGCGCCGGCUUGGGCCAGUGCUGGGCAAGGUGAGGGUUGUAAAUUUCUGAUGAAGAAUGCUUUGUGUUAAA
Malaclemys terrapin pileata is the source of this 2941-nucleotide long non-coding RNA. RefSeq lists it as uncharacterized. The transcript is spliced from 5 exons. NCBI's taxonomy places the organism in Eukaryota, Metazoa, Chordata, Testudines, Emydidae. The record is from RefSeq and is a predicted model, not a curated record.